ACGGGUGAGUAACGCGUAGGAAUAUGCCUUAAAGUGGGGGACAACUUGGGGAAACUCAAGCUAAUACCGCAUAAUCUCUUUGGAGAAAAGCUGGGGACCUUCGGGCCUGGCGCUUUAAGAUUAGCCUGCGUCCGAUUAGCUAGUUGGUAGGGUAAAGGCCUACCAAGGCGACGAUCGGUAGCUGGUCUGAGAGGAUGACCAGCCACACUGGAACUGAGACACGGUCCAGACUCCUACGGGAGGCAGCAGUGGGGAAUAUUGGACAAUGGGGGCAACCCUGAUCCAGCAAUGCCGCGUGUGUGAAGAAGGCCUGAGGGUUGUAAAGCACUUUCAGUAGGGAGGAGGAUAUUUUGGUUAAGAGCUGGGAUAUUGGACGUUACCUACAGAAGAAGCACCGGCUAACUCCGUGCCAGCAGCCGCGGUAAUACGGAGGGUGCAAGCGUUAAUCGGAAUUACUGGGCGUAAAGAGUGCGUAGGUGGUUGGAUAAGUUAUCUGUGAAAUCCCUGGGCUUAACCUGGGCAGGUCAGAUAAUACUGUUCAACUCGAGUAUGGGAGAGGGUAGUGGAAUUUCCGGU
This 576-nucleotide ribosomal RNA is filed under the name uncultured bacterium. Its description in RNAcentral is "bacterial SSU rRNA". It matches the Rfam family "Bacterial small subunit ribosomal RNA", at positions 102 to 674 of the family's 1533-position model. The record is from RNAcentral.